This 1112-nucleotide ribosomal RNA is filed under the name uncultured Bacillus sp. RNAcentral describes it as "bacterial SSU rRNA". It matches the Rfam family "Bacterial small subunit ribosomal RNA", at positions 344 to 1451 of the family's 1533-position model. The record is from RNAcentral. Lineage: Bacteria; Bacillati; Bacillota; Bacilli; Caryophanales; Bacillaceae.
GGAAGCAGCAGUAGGGAUCUUCCGCAAUGGACGAAAGUCUGACGGAACAACGCCGCGUGAGUGAUGAAGUUUUCGGAUCGUAAAGCUCUGUUGUUAGGAAGAACAAGUGCGAGAGUAACUGCUCGCACCUUGACGGUACCUAACCAGAAAGCCACGGCUAACUACGUGCCAGCAGCCGCGGUAAUACGUAGGUGGCAAGCGUUGUCCGGAAUUAUUGGGCGUAAAGGGCUCGCAGGCGGUUUCUUAAGUCUGAUGUGAAAGCCCCCGGCUCAACCGGGGAGGGUCAUUGGAAACUGGGAAACUUGAGUGCAGAAGAGGAGAGUGGAAUUCCACGUGUAGCGGUGAAAUGCGUAGAGAUGUGGAGGAACACCAGUGGCGAAGGCGAUUCUCUGGUCUGUAACUGACGCUGAGGAGCGAAAGCGUGGGGAGCGAACAGGAUUAGAUACCCUGGUAGUCCACGCCGUAAACGAUGAGUGCUAAGUGUUAGGGGGUUUCCGCCCCUUAGUGCUGCAGCUAACGCAUUAAGCACUCCGCCUGGGGAGUACGGUCGCAAGACUGAAACUCAAAGGAAUUGACGGGGGCCCGCACAAGCGGUGGAGCAUGUGGUUUAAUUCGAAGCAACGCGAAGAACCUUACCAGGUCUUGACAUCCUCUGACAACCCUAGAGAUAGGGCUUUCCCUUCGGGGACAGAGUGACAGGUGGUGCAUGGUUGUCGUCAGCUCGUGUCGUGAGAUGUUGGGUUAAGUCCCGCAACGAGCGCAACCCUUGAUCUUAGUUGCCAGCAUUCAGUUGGGCACUCUAAGGUGACUGCCGGUGACAAACCGGAGGAAGGUGGGGAUGACGUCAAAUCAUCAUGCCCCUUAUGACCUGGGCUACACACGUGCUACAAUGGACAGAACAAAGGGCUGCAAGACCGCAAGGUUUAGCCAAUCCCAUAAAUCUGUUCUCAGUUCGGAUCGCAGUCUGCAACUCGACUGCGUGAAGCUGGAAUCGCUAGUAAUCGCGGAUCAGCAUGCCGCGGUGAAUACGUUCCCGGGCCUUGUACACACCGCCCGUCACACCACGAGAGUUUGCAACACCCGAAGUCGGUGAGGUAACCUUUAUGGAGCCA